AAAUUGAAGAGUUUGAUCAUGGCUCAGAUUGAACGCUGGCGGCAGGCCUAACACAUGCAAGUCGAACGGUAACAGGAAGCAGCUUGCUGCUUCGCUGACGAGUGGCGGACGGGUGAGUAAUGUCUGGGAAACUGCCUGAUGGAGGGGGAUAACUACUGGAAACGGUAGCUAAUACCGCAUAACGUCGCAAGACCAAAGAGGGGGACCUUCGGGCCUCUUGCCAUCGGAUGUGCCCAGAUGGGAUUAGCUUGUUGGUGGGGU
This 261-nucleotide ribosomal RNA is filed under the name Escherichia coli. RNAcentral's name for it is "partial 16S ribosomal RNA". It matches the Rfam family "Bacterial small subunit ribosomal RNA", at positions 1 to 258 of the family's 1533-position model. The record is from RNAcentral. Lineage: Bacteria; Pseudomonadati; Pseudomonadota; Gammaproteobacteria; Enterobacterales; Enterobacteriaceae. RNAcentral also lists the same sequence under 1 other name.